GCAGCUGCAUACUUUUUUUUUCUUUUCUUUUCUUUUUUUUUUUUUUCCCUCAAAGAAUCUGAAGUACUGCUGUUGUGCAUACAGCACACACAGAAGUUUUUCCUGGCACCCCCUGCAAUCGCAGCAAGGCUCUUACCCUGUUUCCACGUUGCAACUUGCUGCUUCCAUCUGCAGAGCUCCUCGUUUUUCCAAGAGGAUCCCACAGCAGCUGUACAGACUCUGCUCCUCCAGGCUCCAUUUCAGGGCUGUGUCCUCAACGGGACGUGUCGGCACAGCUGAGGUGUCAUUGAGAAGCUGGAGCGGGCGAUGUGCUGCCAAACCUGAGGGAUGCUAACACUUCUGACAAGAUUAACAACUUGGGGAAAUUGGACUCCCUGCAUUGAUCAGCGGGCUGAUGGGAGAGCUGCCAUGGAAACCCGUAGACAUUUGAGCUGGAAGUGUAGGACUCCUACAGACCAAAGAGAAGCUGAAGACUGGAAGCAACCUGUCAGGAGUGAAAAGGGUUUUCUUGUAAAGCCGACAGGUAGAGGGGUCCCAUCAGCCUGAUUGCACCUUCAGAAAAAAACAUUAAUUAGCGCCUGUCAUCUGUGACAAUCACAGGUAAUUCCCACACUGACAGAUCUUUGCAUGUGACAAAUGGAUUCCCGUUAUUCCUUUGACAACUGGACCAUGAAAUCUAAUUUUACCAGGACAGUAAAUGGUAUCGCUGUUUAUGCCAGCUUUUGAAAUUCAUCAAAAUGAGCAGAAUGUUCCCACAGAUGGAGGAGGAAGAAGCUGCAAUGCAUGAGGAGCACAGGAGUCCUCCUCUCAAGACAAGGGGCAUCACUCUGACAAGUAGCAACUAGUAAUUACAAACAGCAAGUUGGUCUCAUUAGAUGAGGCUUGAGGUUGCAAUAAUAAAAAAAUAAAAUAAAAAACA
RNAcentral lists this long non-coding RNA (919 nucleotides) under Anser brachyrhynchus (Pink-footed goose). Its description in RNAcentral is "lncRNA (ENSABRG00000005121.1)". The record is from RNAcentral. Lineage: Eukaryota; Metazoa; Chordata; Aves; Anseriformes; Anatidae.